GAUGAACGCUAGCGACAGGCCUAACACAUGCAAGUCGAGGGGUAUAGUAGCAAUACUAGAGACCGGCGCACGGGUGCGUAACGCGUAUGUAACCUGCCUCACACUGGGGGAUAGCCUUCCGAAAGGGAGAUUAAUACCGCAUAACAUCAAGCGACUACCUGGUUGCUUGAUUAAAGCUUCGGUGGUGUGAGAUGGACAUGCGUAUGAUUAGCUAGUUGGCGGGGUAACGGCCCACCAAGGCGACGAUCAUUAGGGGGUUCUGAGAGGAAGAUCCCCCACACUGGUACUGAGACACGGACCAGACUCCUACGGGAGGCAG
RNAcentral lists this ribosomal RNA (319 nucleotides) under uncultured Bacteroidota bacterium. RNAcentral describes it as "bacterial SSU rRNA". It matches the Rfam family "Bacterial small subunit ribosomal RNA", at positions 28 to 351 of the family's 1533-position model. The record is from RNAcentral. Lineage: Bacteria; Pseudomonadati; Bacteroidota.